AAAUUCCCUCCCGACAGUCCACACCAGAGGAUAUGGUUGCGUUAAUUUGUGGCGCCAAACCAUCACACACUCAGACCCCAACUCUCAAAGGCAUAAAGCACGCAAAAAUUCAAAGCCCACAAAUCCUCAAAGCCAUGAUUCUCUGCAGCUGCUACCCAUUUCUCUCCAAAUCCCCAAUCUUCUCCCUCCCAUUUCCUCCCACCACCAAAACCCCAUUCCCCAUUUCCUCUCUCUGCUGCUCCACAACCCCCUCUUCCGUCCCAGACCCUCAGACCGACACCAAUGACACCAUCAGCGACGGCAGCGGCGGGCCCAACAAGAAGCGGCUUUCUGACCAGUCCUCGUGGGAGGCCAAGGACUCCGAGGGAAACGACUACUUGUACAGGUUGGGCAAAGAGGCUGAUAACAUGAACAUCGCCGUCGGUGCCCGGGCCGGCCUCGUCGACGACCUCUUCGUCGGAAAGUUUCUCGGCCGAGACUCCGAUAUCGUGUUUGAUUAUCGGCAGAAGGUCACCCGGUCCUUCCAGUACCUUCAAGGCGAUUAUUAUAUUGCACCUCUGUUCAUGGAUAAAGUUGUAUGCCAUAUUGCGAAGAACUACCUUGCUCCUCUUCUAAAUACUAAAGUUCCAUUAAUCCUAGGUAUUUGGGGAGGAAAAGGGCAAGGAAAAUCAUUUCAGACUGAACUUAUAUUCCAAGCCAUGGGAGUUGAACCUGUAAUUAUGUCCGCCGGGGAAUUGGAAUCAGAAAGAGCAGGAGAACCGGGAAAAUUGAUACGGGAACGCUAUAGAACAGCUUCUCAAGUGGUCCAGAACCAAGGCAAGAUGAGCUGCUUGAUGAUCAAUGACAUUGAUGCUGGCCUUGGUAGAUUUGGCAACACUCAAAUGACAGUCAACAAUCAAAUUGUUGUCGGAACAUUGAUGAAUCUUUGUGAUAAUCCUACAAGAGUUAGUAUUGGACAAGACUGGCGAGAUUCAGAUAUUACAAACAGAGUUCCUAUCAUUGUUACUGGAAAUGAUUUGUCAAAAAUAUAUGCUCCCUUAAUCCGUGAUGGAAGGAUGGAAAAGUUUUACUGGCAGCCUAACCACGAGGACAUUAUUAAUAUUGUUCACAGAAUGUAUGGGAAAGAUGGCAUGUCUAGGGAUGAAGUUGUAAGGAUAGUGGACACAUUUCCUAAUCAAGCGCUAGAUUUCUAUGGAGCUCUAAGGUCUCGAACAUAUGACCGGUCAAUUUCUAAGUGGGUUGAUGAUAUCGGAGGUGUUGAAAGUCUGGGAAACAAACUUAUAAAGGGAAGGAAAAAUGACAGCCUUCCUGUGUUUACUCCUCCAGAGCAAACAAUGGAGGCUUUACUUGAAUCAGGUUAUUCUCUGAUCAAAGAACAGCAGUUGAUAAUGGAAACCAAACUUUCAAAGGUAUACAUGAAGAACAUGGACGAUUAGAAAUGGGGAUGCCAUUGUUAUGUCGUCCCAUAAUGCUUUGUUAUGCACGGAAUCCAAAAGCAAGUCAGUGAGAAUCCCAAAACCGUAUCUUCGGGAUGCCUUGAAGUUCUUUCUGUUUAUAAAAAGAGGAACCUCUUUAGACGCUUCGGGUCAUUUUUGGCUUGAACUGAAUGUCACUUGUCCCUCACUAAAUUCAGACAGAAUAUGUGCUUCAAAUUAGGUCAACUUUGGCCCCUUGUGGACACACCAAUGAGAGCAAUGUGCCCCCUAAUUAAGAAUCUUGGACAACAAGAAAGCUAGAUGAAUGGCGCAUCGAGGGGAAGAGAAAUUAACCUUCACAAAUAUAGAAGAAAAUUUAAGGAUCUGCGAAUCUUCUAUAACUAAUUAUUUCUUAAGCUAAGAUCUUUGUAACUUUGUAACAUGGAAUCAGUUCUUUAAAGCAUAAUCAAAGACGAUCAUAUCAAAAAAAGACUGAUAGCUUGGUUGAUUAAGAACAUUGAUUAUGGCAGUUUAGGUCUUGAUUCUGCAAAAGCCACCAUCUCUAAAGAAUUACAAUUUUUUUUU
Molecule: RNA transcript, 2000 nt
Organism: Pyrus x bretschneideri (Chinese white pear)
Lineage: Eukaryota; Viridiplantae; Streptophyta; Magnoliopsida; Rosales; Rosaceae
Gene name: ribulose bisphosphate carboxylase/oxygenase activase, chloroplastic
Exons: 12
Source: RefSeq, a predicted model, not a curated record